Non-coding RNA from Takifugu rubripes (torafugu), 31 nucleotides. NCBI's taxonomy places the organism in Eukaryota, Metazoa, Chordata, Actinopteri, Tetraodontiformes, Tetraodontidae. The record is from Rfam.
UCAUUAUCGGGAGCAGUGUCUCCCAUAAUGU